Molecule: ribosomal RNA, 482 nt
Filed under: uncultured bacterium
Lineage: Bacteria
Description: bacterial SSU rRNA
Rfam family: Bacterial small subunit ribosomal RNA
Source: RNAcentral
AGUUUGAUCAUGGCUCAGAAUCAACGCUGGCGGCGUGCCUCAGACAUGCAAGUCGAACGACUAAAGCUCUCUUCGGAGAGUGUAUAGAGUGGCGCACGGGUGAGUAACACGUAAGUAAUCUACCCUCGAGUGGGGAAUAACAACCGGAAACGGUUGCUAAUACCGCAUAAUGCAGCGGCACCGCAAGGUGACAGUUGUUAAAGAUUUAUCGCUUGAGGAGGAGCUUGCGGCAGAUUAGCUAGUUGGUAGGGUAACGGCUUACCAAGGCUACGAUCUGUAACCGGUCUAAGAGGACGGUCGGUCACACUGACACUGAAUAACGGGUCAGACUCCUACGGGAGGCAGCAGUCGGAAUUUUGGGCAAUGGGCGAAAGCCUGACCCAGCAACGCCGCGUGAAGGAUGAAGUAUUUCGGUAUGUAAACUUCGAAAGAAUAGGAAGAAUUAAUGACGGUACUAUUUAUAAGGUCCGGCUAACUACGUG